This is a non-coding RNA of Capsicum annuum, 73 nucleotides long. Lineage: Eukaryota; Viridiplantae; Streptophyta; Magnoliopsida; Solanales; Solanaceae. The record is from Rfam.
GCCUGUCUAGUUCAGUUGGUAGAGCGCAAGGCUCUUAACCUUGUGGUCGUGGAUUCGAGUCCCAUGAUGGGCG